This 537-nucleotide unclassified non-coding RNA is filed under the name Hevea brasiliensis (rubber tree). Lineage: Eukaryota; Viridiplantae; Streptophyta; Magnoliopsida; Malpighiales; Euphorbiaceae. The record is from RNAcentral.
AAUUUUGAUGGAAUUUUGUUCAAGUACAACCAAUUCCAUAAAUUAAUAUAGAUUUCAAAAAUUUUUGAAGUUGCAAACAAGUUAAGCAUGAAUAAAUUAAUUCCAUAAACUUUUAAGUCAUUUGUUCAAAACUAGCCCUUUGGGGUUCAAUCAAAAACCAAUACUUGCUCAAUCUUCAUCUGCUUUAUUGAAUUGAGAUACAUUUAGAAUAUUGACUUGGCGAUGCUAUGAAAUUAAUAAAAAAAAUUACCAUAAAUGUGUUAUGCUAAUACAUUAGCUGGUGGAAAUUGUAGGAUCCGGUACUUACCACUUUGCCAAAAGCUUAAGCUGUUAGCAGAGGUACAACUCUAAUUUCUUCUAGCAUAGCAGCCCAAGCACAUAGGCCAAAGAGAUUUGGUAGGAUGCUAGCCUACUAGGUUAUCUCUACCCAAUGCCAACAAUCCCUCCAGCAUCUACUAGGGAUUCGAACCAUGACCUCGACUCUGAUAUCAAUUGUAAGAUCAAGUACUUACCACUGUGCCAAAAGCUUAAACUGUU